CUCGCGAGCGCCUCCGCCUCCUCAUCGAGUCUUGAGUCGAAGGUGCCGUUGUCGCUCCGCCCCUCCAGCGCCUCCGCCUCCGCCUCCCCCAUCGAGUCCUGAGUCGAAGGUGCCACUGUUGCUCCGCUCCUCCGCCUCCCCGUGCAAGCCGCACCGCCGCUCGGCCCUGCCACUGCUUCCUCUGUCGCCUCCGCCUCCUCCUCCCCAUCGAGUCCCCGAGUCGAAGGUGCGGCCGUCGCUAUGCCCCUCUGCCUCCUCAUCCAAGCCGCACCACCGCUCGGACCUAUCGUCGCUCGCCUCCACAGGUCGCGCUGCCACGUCCUGCCGCCGUGUUGUCAGUCUCCCCCAGCUGCCUGUCCUUCACCACCCUUCCAAGAUCCAGCAUAGCGCCGCCAUCUCCGUCGCCUCCAGAUCCACAGCGUUGGUUUCUACACCGCCGCCAAGGACCUGCUAGUGCUACUAUCAGAUCAAGAAAAAGCCAUACCUAAAGUCAAGCUAGCACUGAUCCAAGGCAUACCUAGAUUCACGAUCAUACUUGUGCUCUCUUUUGUGCUUCAACUAGUCCCUAAUGAUGUCCCAGCACAGCUGUGGCAAUGACAUGUUAUGGCCUUCAGUCUGCAUGCAGCCUUGCUGUGUUGAGUUUGCUUGAUGUUGUUACAGGUUCAUGAUCUUGAUGAGUGUGCUUCUCUCUUGUAUUGCAUCUCUGUUGGGUGAUGAUAGGAAUAGUGUUGGGUGAUUAUAGGAAUAGAUUGGUAGUCAGCCUACUUGCUCCUGAAGCUUGAAUUCAUGCUGCACUAAAUAUGUUCAGAUUUUCUCAAGCAUUUUACAUGUUUUUCCUGAAUUUUCAGAGCAAUUAUUUCUUUGUUU
Molecule: long non-coding RNA, 867 nt
Organism: Panicum virgatum (switchgrass)
Lineage: Eukaryota; Viridiplantae; Streptophyta; Magnoliopsida; Poales; Poaceae
Exons: 3
Source: RefSeq, a predicted model, not a curated record